Denticeps clupeoides (denticle herring) is the source of this 655-nucleotide long non-coding RNA. The record is from Ensembl. NCBI's taxonomy places the organism in Eukaryota, Metazoa, Chordata, Actinopteri, Clupeiformes, Denticipitidae.
AUGUGUGGUUUCAGUGGAUUCAGGGUAGUGGCUGAUAUACGAAAGCACAUUUGUAAAUGCUUAUUAUGGUUUUAUGGUUUGGCAGGACACAAGAGUUCAGAGGCCAGUCACAUCAUUCACCUCUUUUUGAACCCUUUGUCUCAAAACAUCCAGGCAGAUUUUUUUUUAUUCACUAAUGAUACCCCAACGGAGCGCAUGAUUCAAGGAAGGCUUUCACCCCAUUUGAAAAGGGGAAGUCAAACCAUCUUGUCACGACCGCUUGCUGAGGGGGGAAGGAAGCGCAGAGGCAGGACAUUCUGGGAAGGGGUUUUAUUAAUAAACAAACAAUAAACACAAAUAAAGAAUGGCUAACAGCUAACAGGCUAACAACAAAGGGUCUAUCACACAAAGCAACAAGAAACACGAUUGAGAUCCCCAACGGAGCUCCAUGCAGAUCUCCGUGGACCCUGGGGACCUCCCAAAAGCAUAAGGGCCUAGCAGACCCUGGGGACCUCCCGAAGACCAUCUGAAGUCUCUUUAAAUAGGUGGAGGUGACCAAUGACAGAUGGAGCUGGUAGGCCUCAACUCCUCCCACGAGUCAACCUAAAAGGGACAGGACGCAAAAAACACAGCCAGACACACAGAACACGUGGGAGCAUACAUCCAGGGACGUAAC